GAGAGAGACAUGCGCGCAUAUCAAUAAGCGGAGGAAAAGAAACUAACAAGGAUUCCCCUAGUAACGGCGAGUGAAGCGGGAAGAGCUCAAAUUUGAAAUCUUAAAGGGUUUCCCUUUACGAAUUGUAGUUUAAAGAAGUGUUUUCUGUUGAGGUUUUGGUAAAAGUUCUUUGGAAUAGGAUAUCAUAGAGGGUGAGAAUCCCGUAUUUGACCUUUACUUUCAACUUUGUGAUACACUUUCAAAGAGUCGGAUUGUUUGGGAAUGCAGUCCAAAAUGGGUGGUAAAUUUCAUCUAAAGCUAAAUAUUGGCGAGAGACCGAUAGCGAACAAGUACCGUGAGGGAAAGAUGAAAAGAACUUUGAAAAGAGAGUUAAACAGUACGUGAAAUUGUCAAAAGGGAAGCGUUUGACACCAGUGUUGUUUUUCUGAAAAUCAAUUAAAGAACUGUUUAUGCUAAGUUGUUUAGACUUUAUCAGCUAACUGUUUAGUUUUGAGCUUUUCUUUAAUGCACUUUUCAGUUAACAAGUCAACAUCAAUUUCUUUUGCUGUAAAAAAGCUUGAGGAAGGUGGCUUGAGAUUCGUCUUAAGUGUUUAUAGCCUCUUGCCUAUGCAGUCGGAGAGAUUGAGGUCUGCAGCGUAGAUCCUUCGGGGCUAAAUGCAUUUGUGCUAAGUUAUAGCAUUUUAUAGACAACUUGUUGACUAUGAUUUGUCUUGUAGCUUACUCGCUUAUGUUAUUUUACCUACGCUUAGGAUGUUGAGCGCAUGUCUCUCUCU
This 773-nucleotide ribosomal RNA is filed under the name uncultured Neocallimastigales. RNAcentral describes it as "partial large subunit ribosomal RNA". It matches the Rfam family "Eukaryotic large subunit ribosomal RNA", at positions 23 to 616 of the family's 3401-position model. The record is from RNAcentral. Lineage: Eukaryota; Fungi; Neocallimastigomycota; Neocallimastigomycetes; Neocallimastigales.